Molecule: RNA transcript, 1000 nt
Organism: Neltuma alba
Lineage: Eukaryota; Viridiplantae; Streptophyta; Magnoliopsida; Fabales; Fabaceae
Gene name: probable serine/threonine protein kinase IREH1
Exons: 9
Source: RefSeq, a predicted model, not a curated record
UUCAAAUUAAAUGAUACCAACAGACCAUAUUUGAUAACAUUCUUAAUCGCAAGAUCCCUUGGCCCCAUGUUCCUGAAGAAAUGAGUUCUGAAGCACAAGAUCUUAUUGAUCGAUUGUUAACUGAAGAUCCUAGUCAGAGACUUGGAGCUGGAGGGACAUCAGAGGUAAAGCAACAUGUUUUCUUCAAGGAUAUAAACUGGGACACACUUGCCAGGCAGAAGGCUGCAUUUGUCCCUGCCUCUGAGAGUGCUCUAGAUACCAGUUAUUUCACAAGUCGCUAUUCAUGGAGUACUCCUGAUGGCCUUGUGUAUCCAGCAAGUGAUAUUGAGGAUUCUAGUGAUGCAGACAGUUUAAGUGGCAGCAGUAGUUGCGUGAGCAAUCGUCAAGAUGAACUGCAGGGGGAUGAAUGUGGGGGUUUCGCCGAGUUUGAGUCAGGCUUAUCUGUCAAUUACUCUUCCAGCAAUUUCUCCUUUAAGAAUCUCUCCCAGCUUGCGUCUCUCAACUACGAUCUUCUCACCAAGGGAUAUAAAGAUGACCCACCUACAAAUUCUAGCACAUAACUAUCUCACCAUUUUGUCCUCAUUCCAGAAUUUGGUUUUCGACAUGUGACCUGAGCCAUUUUUGUCUGCAUAUGCACCUUCUUGUUUAGACCUAGAGGCUCAAGAGCUGGUCCACGAUGUGCUCUUUACUUAUUAAGUAACAAAUCAACACUGGGAUUUCAACCUUUUGGGGUUUAUGUUGUGUAGGUAUUGGGGACUGUAAAGUACUUUAAAAUGCAUACUAGUGGUGGUUGUUCACAUUUUUCUGUGUUGGUGGUGGGGGGUUGCUUAUGUAAUUUCCUUUCAAAAUUUUGAGAUAUAGUGAAGGCCGUCUUCUGAUCCUCUCUCUUGGAGCAUUUUCACUUUACCAUAGUUGAUCUAAAGUGAUUACCUUUCUCACUGGGCCUGUAUCAUUUAAAGUAUUUGACUUUAUGAGAGCUCGCCAUAGUCAUUUGGGGUUU